Rattus norvegicus (Norway rat) is the source of this 14557-nucleotide non-coding RNA. Lineage: Eukaryota; Metazoa; Chordata; Mammalia; Rodentia; Muridae. The record is from RefSeq and is a predicted model, not a curated record.
GAACUAGAGUUUCAUAAAGGUUGCUCAUUGUCAGAGUCCAGAUGUGCAGGGCGGGACGUGCCUGAGGGAGAGCCAGAGAUAGGACUUGCCAAACCAGCUAUCAGCCCCAAGGACACUGACCAUCCGUAGCUACCCCCUCCCCUUCCUUCACCCCCCUGAGUGAGAUGAGUCACCCUACCUGCCUGCCGAGCUGCUGGAGAGCACGUACUCCUUGCUGAUGUAAUUUCGCGCCGAAAGUAACUGUGCACCAUUUGAAUUGACCAAUCAUGUGUAACCUCGCGAAUGCCCCUAACCUCCCCUAUAUAAACCCCCGAGUCUGGAGGCUCGGGGUCGAUUCCUCUGUCUCCUGUGUGAGAUACGUGUCGACCCGGGAUCCCGCUAAGACCUGGGAUCUCGUUAAUAAAGCUACCUCUUGCUGUUUCAUCAAGAAUGGCUCCUCGUGAUUCCUGGGGGCACCCCACCCUGCGAUCGGAGCGAGAGACGCGGCUCCCCGUUUUGGGGUACGCUCUUUCAUUUGGAGGCUCGUCCGGGAUCGGAGCGUGACCCCCUGGAACCCCGAAUGCCACUUGGAGGUACGUUGGUGUGAGUGUUGAAAGCGGCCGCUGUGUAUGUGUAUGUAUGUGUGUGUGUGUAUGUUGUGCUUCUCGUACUGUGUAUUGUGCCAUGGUCUAAGGUUUAAGUUGGGUGUGCUCGGGUGGAAGGGCUCCCCACCCCGAAUUUGAGUGCACCCCGUUUUCGAGUACAUCUGGGCAGAUGGGUUUCCUGCCCCGUAUUUGAGUGCACUCGGGUGGAAGGGUUUCCCGCCCCGGACAGACAGUACACUUGGGCAGAUGGGUUUCCUGCCCUGUAUUUGAGUGUACUUGAGCGGAAGGGUUUCCCGCUCCGGACAGGCGCCUGUGAGUAGAAGGGUUUCCUACUCCGAAUAGUCUUUUUCUUUCUUUUUUUCCUUUUUAGAAAGCGCACCGGGGGAUGCCCCAAUCGCGCAGGCUCUGGGACGCGUGAGAGACGUUCCGAGAGCCAGCCUUUGUCGGGUCCUGGCUCUGGGACGCGUGAGAGACGUUCCACGAGCCGAAUUUUGUCGGGAGGACCCGGCAACGGACAGUCAAAAAGAUCUGACUGUGACUUGACUUCGGAGGUCGAGUUCGGCAGCCUAUUUGAGUAUAGGCACGGACAAGUGUGCUUAGAUGUGUUAGUGUCUGUUGUCUGUAUUCUAUUCCUGUGUUUGGUAUCCCAGAAGCAGCUAAGGUUAAGCUGCAGUUUGGGCCAGGUACUGAAGGUACCAGGCAUCUGUGGAAAUUGGUUAUAGGAUGCUUUGUCUUGGUCUUGUUUGUCUGGAUUGUUUUCUGUGGUAUUGUCCAGUGUUUUUUUGACUUUUUAUUCGUGUUUGAAUUUGGACUGACGACCGUGUUUAAAAUCUUGAACCGACGACUGUGUUUGAAAUCAUGAAACUGUUUGCUUUGUUCGUUGAAGAGUUUUACUUGGUCCCCUUAAUGCUUAGUGAGUAAGGAACUUAAUUUUGUGGACCCCGCUCUAGUGGCGGUGUGUUGGUUGAUAGCCAAAGUUAAUUUUUAAAACAGUGUUUUAUCUGUGCUUGUGCUCGCAGCCAGCUGAGAUAAGCUAGAGAAGUGAGUAAAUAUUGCUUGGGAGCAAAGAAUCUUAAAGGCGGAGUUUCAGCCGGUAUGACACUUAGUGCGUAGCUGCCUAAAAGAUCAGAAAUGCUGUUAAUAGGCUAUAAAAAAGGGACAGGCUGUGUUAGAAAUGCUACAGGAAGAAUAAUCUAAAAAGGCUGAGAGCUAGGUGGGGCUAUAAGGAAAACAAGAAUAGGAAAGGAAUUUCUGACAUUUGCUCACAGUAGGAGAGCACUCAUUUAGAGAAGUUCUUUAAGGAAGCCUGCCUUAUCUGCUGUCUUUAUUCCAAGGGAGGAGUCAGUCUCCAGCACUAAAUUACUUGGCGGUGGCCAAGGUCAGGAUUAAUGUUUUCUUUUCCUUGGCCCCUUUAAACCCAGUGAGACAGUUUGGUAAAGGGCUACUACUGAGGUCCUGAUAGCCCCAGGUGAACUGGUUACAAUUCUUUUAUCAGCCCCCUGGCAUCUAGCACCCAGGUUCUAACCAUCUCUCCAUCCUUUUGUUACUAGAAGCCUAGUGUCAUUUGGAGGCUGGUUCUCUUGAGAGGCAAAGCCAUGGAGCUGACACUGACAAUGGCCUUUUUGUUCCAAGAAAGGCCUCCUGGUUUAGCUGUGUGACUAAAUGCUAUUUGUCCUCUUCAGUGGACCUCUCUUCUCUAGAUUCCCUUCUUGUUUUCUCACCAUCCCACGUGAGAUGCUUGUUAGUAACUGUUACAGAUCUUCUUUACCACCGAGGAAAGACGGAAUCCUACUGGAGACCAGAAAAAAUGUUCCAGACACGGAUAGAAGGCCCUCACUUCUGCCUGCUCUCUUCAGACGCCUGAAGGCUAAAAGACCUACAGGUGAUACAGAAAGAAAUCUGCUCACAGCUGACAGCAGCCUAUGCCCCGGAGACCCCUGAGACAUCCCAUCAGUUCCAGGUUGCAGCUACAGAGUCCAGACACUCGAGCCUCGCUGGAAAGGACCGUACCUGGUGCUGCUGACCACCCUGACAGCUGUCAAUUCUCAGCCCUCACCAGCCGUGUACUAGCUGUUGGGGCUGAGAGCUGGGACCUAGAGGGAAACUCAGUCAUGUUUGUCCUGGGUUCUAUCAAGAUAGGUGUGGGAUAGGCUUGAUUUCCAUUACAAAUGAUGUAACAUUGCCUAUGUUAGUACUCUUAACACUUCUUGGGACUGUGCCUCAGGGAUCACAGUCCGUAUAAGCUUAGAAGUUCUAAAAGCUAGUCAUGACCUUGGUGGAUAGGCUUGGAUAGUGUCCAGGUUAGAAUCCUCAUGUUAAGACUACAAUACCAAGCUGUUAUGCUAGAUGAAGCUGAGUUCUCCAUGAAGUUCUAGGAUUAGAACUAUUAACAAAAAAAAAAAAAAAAAGAAUUGGGGAAUGUAGAACUAGAGUUUCAUAAAGGUUGCUCAUUGUCAGAGUCCAGAUGUGCAGGGCGGGACGUGCCUGAGGGAGAGCCAGAGAUAGGACUUGCCAAACCAGCUAUCAGCCCCAAGGACACUGACCAUCCGUAGCUACCCCCUCCCCUUCCUUCACCCCCCUGAGUGAGAUGAGUCACCCUACCUGCCUGCCGAGCUGCUGGAGAGCACGUACUCCUUGCUGAUGUAAUUUCGCGCCGAAAGUAACUGUGCACCAUUUGAAUUGACCAAUCAUGUGUAACCUCGCGAAUGCCCCUAACCUCCCCUAUAUAAACCCCCGAGUCUGGAGGCUCGGGGUCGAUUCCUCUGUCUCCUGUGUGAGAUACGUGUCGACCCGGGAUCCCGCUAAGACCUGGGAUCUCGUUAAUAAAGCUACCUCUUGCUGUUUCAUCAAGAAUGGCUCCUCGUGAUUCCUGGGGGCACCCCACCCUGCGAUCGGAGCGAGAGACGCGGCUCCCCGUUUUGGGGUACGCUCUUUCAGACCUUGUCAAGUCUGAAUCUUUCCUGCUACCCACUCAUCACAGAGGCCCACCCUGACCAUUGAGAGACUUGUUGAGAGGCUGGUACAAUGAGUGGGUUUUAUUAGUGUGUUCACAGACAGACACUAUAACCUAUUUGAGGGUAGCAUCAUAUCCUCUGAAGGGAAAGCCACACCUUUUAACUGCGUUACCCCCAGACCCUCAUGACCAGCACUCUGACUUUUGCCUGAGGAGCCAUUCUAUCCUGGACACCCAUGCCCUGUGUCCCGGAAGUCACAGUGUAUGUGAUCUGGUGCUUCUUUCUCGAAGUGUGUUCAUGUUAGCAGUAUGCAUUCACGGGUGAGCCACAUUUCACAGUAAUAUUUUUGCUGUCUUGGGUUGGUGUUUUUCUGAAGCGAUGGGAAUUGAACCCUGGGCCAUACAAAAGCUGGGAAAGCCCUUUGUCUCUGACACACCUUCACAACACUCCAUUUUUCUGACCCAAUAGCCCAUCCAUUGCACCACUGUGAGUAAAACUGGCGAGAACACUGGCGCUCUGGUUUCCGUGUAGACACAGGUUUGUAUAUGGUCUACGGGUCCCAUGGGUUACAGAUUGGGGUCAUUUUCAAGUAGGUGCCAUAACAGUGACUUACAGUAACAGGUGAGCCACUGUGACUCCCUAAACACACACACACACACACACACACACACACACACACACACACACUCACACACAUACCAGCUCUGUCAAGAGAAGGGAAAGACUGUGUGUACUUUAGCUCCAAGGCCUCAUCUGGGCUUCCUCUCUCCUGUCCAGACUUGGAGCCAUCCAGCCCAUGCCACCAGACUAGCUGCUAAGGGUAGUCACUAGGGAGGGUAACCCUGGUGGGGGACCCAGCCAGAUACUCCACAUGUCCCUGCUGCAGACUUGUGUCCAGCAUGCCUUAGCCCAAGAGAUGAGGCAGGAGCCCACUUCACCCUGUUCUGGGCUCACGAUGCGAGAACCACUGGAGUAGCUCGCAGGAAGGAACUCUUGAUUCAGAGUCAUGGCCUCCCUGGCCCUGAGCCUCCUCCUGUGCCUGAAGCUUCAGGUCAAUCCACACACUCCCGGCCUUAGCAGUGGAUCUGAGGCUGGCAGUCGGAGCACAUGGUAUCUACUGCACUCAGCACAGUCCACCCGGGCCCGGAGGCGUCUUCUCUCUCCUGGAAUUUGAUCACAUGUGUUCUGUUUUGGGUCCUGCAGAAGGUGGGCACGGUGGGCGCUGCUCUCAGCCUGGCGACUAACUGGUCGCAAGUCUCCUGUCUUACAUGCAGUUCCCUAGAGCGCCUGCUAACUGGCAGCGUUCCUACAAAUGACAGGCCUCUUCUCGGCUUGGCAGCACCCUCCUCACAUAUUGCAUGUUUUCCUCCAAAAUGUUUAAUGUGCUAAAGUCUAGCUUCAAUCAGAUCAGCGCUAAAGCAGACUAAUCACUUAGCCUGAUUGUUGAGCUGCGUUUGGUUCUGAGAUUCUAAAAUAUGGAAGGAAAAAAAAAAAAAAACCAUCAAGCUCUGCUUCCACAGCCCCUCUGCACAGCUGAUCUCUCACAGGAGAAUGUAUUGCCCUCUCUGGAGUUUUUGUGGUUGGAUUAGCAUUUACUGGGAGUUGAAAAGCGUUAUACUCCCCAGCCCCCUCUAGCACAUGGGCUAGAAUGUUGAACAGAUGUUAAAUUAUGUUAUCAAUGCCAAAAUUGGAAAUACCUUGCCUCUUCCCAGAGUUGAGCUUUUUGGUUUAAUUACUGUGAUUGCAGUGGCUGAAACUGGAGCACGUGUACACUCAGAAUGGGAAACUCUGAUGCUAGGAAGUAAUUUUAGAUUCCCGGGGCUGGGGAUGGAGCACGGCAGGUGUGUCAAAGAGCAGGGCUGCCGGCUGAUUCUGCACGCGCACGUGGGGUUGGGUAGCGUGACAGUUCCUUCCGUGCAUUCACUAUGCCGUGGUUUUAACUGGUAAUGACUUCCAUCGGCAGAGGCCCUGUGGUUUCCAGCGCUACUCCUCGAACGGAGAGACACAGAGCAACUCUGUUCUGGCAGGCACAGGCCUGCAAGCCAACUGGUGACAGAGUUGCUGGCCUGACCCACGGCCUCUUUCCCAGACUCUUGCAUUGCUCCCAGGUGGCUCCAUGUGGGUGGCUGGGUGCUUUGGCAGGCAUUGGCUCUUUUGAUUUCACAAUUAAUAAAUGCAAAGAAAGAGAGAAGGAAAGACACAUGACUUCUUAGAGUAGAUUUUGAUUUACAGAAAAGUCAACUCAUAGUUGGAGAGUCCCGCAUAUUGUCUGUGGUUCCUCUGCCCUUCACUUCUGGCCGUGGGGUGACUUGUCUGGCUGAGCCGGAGUGGGCAAUGCGACCAACAGACAUCCCCAUGCCACAUAAGAGUGGGCUCUUGGGGCUGCAUAUUCUAUGGGUUUGGUCAUAGUCAAUUCACACUGCCAGGUCUCCCACUGCAGCAUCCUGUAGAAGCCUUUGUACACAAAUUCUGCAACCCAUUGCUCCAGGAGAACAGACACGCAAGGCCACAAAGGGCUGCAGUUAUAGUGGCACAAGUAUAUAUUUACCAAGACAUCAACAGCAUAGGUAUGGGGAAAAGGAAUUUGUGUGCUCCAGGGUUCACCGGAUAUAAAAUGCCAUUGCAACAGAGCCAUCCCUGCGGCCCUGAGGCUGGAGUGAGGGCAGGCAACACGUAACAUUCUCCAGACAACUGUGAAGUGAGGUGAACACAUAUGUUCCCAUGGAAAUGAAGUCCCAUGGCUGCUAAUAUUCUCAAGAGAAGCAAAUGGUUGUUUGAGUCAGAAAUCAGUGAGCAUAGAAAAGUUAGAUUUUUUUUUUUUUUUUUUUUUUUGGUCCAAGUUCCUAGUCCUCAGGAAUGACGUCUCUACUCUACAGACGUGGAAUAUUUCAAAUCAGGAAAAAAAAAUGCUAAAAGGGAUUUUUAAAAAAUGUAUUUUAAAAAUCAAACACGUGGCUGGGUGGUGAAGACACACAACUUUAAUCCCAGGACUCAGGAGACAGAGGCAGGUAGGUAUCUGAAUUUGAGGCCAGCACGCUCUACAGAAGGAGGUCAACGAUAGCCAACACAGAGAAACCCUGUCCACCAAAAAGACGAAAAAAAAAACCCCAAAAAGUCCCCCCAAAACCAAACCAACCAACCAAACAAAACAAAACAACAACAAACCGAAAGAAAACCUACCAACAAGCUGUUUUUGAAGCUGUACCUUCAUUAGCAGCAGGUGGGCUCAUGAUGUCUGCGCAGUGGCUGGGACUCCAGUCAUCUGCCCUGAGAGAAAGCAGAUUGCUUUGGAGAAGCUGAUUAAGCUCCGUGGAAAUUGGGGGAGGGUUGUGUGAUUCAUACCUCCUCACACAGCAGACAGGAUGGUUACAUUUCACUGUCUUCCCAUGAGUCAGAGUCAGUGGCUGAGAGCUCAGGAGAGAUUGACCCCAGGGACCCCGGGCAUCCAGCAAGCAACGAGGGUCACUGGUGGCUGCAUGCUGGGGGCCUAAGAAGUCGGUCGGAGGUGUACCACCAUCAUCAACAUCAUCAUUAACACCUUCAUCAUCCUCGCCACCAUCACCUCUGUCAUCCACACCGUCAUCCCCUUCACCGUCUCCAUUAGAGCUUUCAACUUUACCACCACCAUCAUCAUCACUGUCACCUUUGCUACCUACCAUCAUCUUCAACUCAACCACCAUCAUAACCUAACUAACCAUCACCAUGCCUUCGUCCUCACACCAUCAGGACCACGACCUUCACACCAGCACGAUUGCUACAGUCACUAUCAUUACUGUGGGCAAGCCGGGUAGAUGAGGUAGGUGGGGCCUGGGGCUGGCUCCUGUUGAUGGAGUCCCCCACCUAGGGAAGCGUGUGUGCUGUGUGAAUGGACGUACAGACCCCGAGAAAAGGAGAAGGAGUGAGACUUGAAGUGGAGCCUUGACAGGUGGAGAGAGAGGCCUGCCUGCACUGGGCAGCCUUGAUCUUGGUGUUGUUUCAGAGUGUGAAGCUGCCCAGGGCCCUCUACUUUCUGCCUUCCCAGGUCUUCUGUCCUCUCCUACCCUGUCCAUCCAUCCUGCCUUUUCUACUCUUGUAGCUUUAACCUCUUCCCUCCAAGGAGCACAUACACUCCCUGCCUCCUGCAGAACCUGGAACUCAGGGCCAGCAGAGCCAGGGGUUGGCAGCUAGUGCAAGAAAGAAAGAGAGGUGGGAUUCUGCAGAUAAAUGCCCCCAUUUCUGGUGACUCAUAGUCUAUCCACAGCUCUUGGCCUAAGGAUGCCCUAGAGAUGAUCAAAGACUCCUCUGGUGGGAAGGGCGGGGUCUGCCACACAUCCACUCCAGCCUGCCAUGAUAGCAUUCUGACCAUUCCACUCUGCCCCAGUGUCCAGGCCUCCCAGGCACCACCCCUAUGCUCCACAGAGAGCCCCAAUGACAGGCCCUGACAUGCUUUGGAAGCCGUAGGGGAUAGAGUGGGCAUCCUGUCUAGAUUCCUAAGUUUCUCUCUCAUCUUCCUGGCCCUACCUCUGCUCCAUCAACAUAUGAACCAACACUCAAGGUUGCUCAGGAGCAAAACUGAGAAAGAGGCUGUAGCCAGGGCCCUCAGCGAGGCUUUUGUUCCUCUCUGCCUGUGCGGAGUCUCAUAGCUCCACUGUCAUCCUGUUUCCUCUGGGAAAGCUGGCCUCUAGGGUUCCCUUUCUACGGCUCCUCAUUCUCAUGGCAUUUUGUAUCUCCAGGAAAACACAUGUCUCAUGAACAAAAGCACUCUGUGGGCUUUGCAGACCUGAGAGGAGACAAGGAGAUAUAAAAAAGGUACCCACGCCAGCUUUCUCCUUCAGGUUCUAGCACAGGGGCUUAACGGAGUGACGCUUGUCCUUGAGUGAGCAUCCCCUCUCCAUCUCCUGAGCUCAAGCUCCAGAUAGGUGCUGGGCUUAUUCAGCAUAUGUCCCAGGCCUCCCCAGGCCUCCCCAGGCUCUCUGAUGACAUGGCGGUGACAGCGUUUCCUAGGAAACUACAGCUAGCUGCCAGACCUACACGCCUGUGCCCCUUGGGGCUGCUGUGGUGGGUGAAGGCUGGGAUGCUCCAGAGGGAAGGUGUGUGUCUGUGCGACGAGAAGAGGAGACUGUGUCCACAAGAAUCUUCGUGUGAGUGUGUGAUAUGGUGGGUGAAGAAUUCCCACACUGAGUUCUGUACUUGGGGGUCUACAUUGGGCACAUGCCUCAGGGUCUUGGGUCUGUGUGCUGCAAGCCUCUGCAUGUGAGCGUGUGUGUGUGUGUACUGGGGCUUCGGUGUACCUCUAAAGCCAUGUGGGUGUAUGUACCUUUGUGUGUGUGUGUGUGUGUGUGUGUGUGUGUGUGUGUGUGUACAUCUGUGUGUAUGUAUGUAUUUGAGCAGCUGUGUACGUAUACACAGGGUACUGGGCUUCUGAGGUAUUCUUAUGUUCUCUCUGCAGGCCUGAGACUUCCUGACAGCAGCCUCUUGGGCCCAGAGCCAAGCUUUCUAUCCACCCAGCAAUGCACCAUUCCUGCCCCUGAGCCUUCAGGUAAACUGCCUUCAGCAAACAACAACGGAGGCCCACAACGCAGGGUCACUAAAGGCAAGCCCAGACCUGGCUGAGAAGGUCCAGGGCUUGCGAGCUGGCAGCAAGAAACAAUAGUGUCGGGGCUGGGGAUUUAGCUCAGUGGUAGAGCGCUUACCUAGGAAGCGCAAGGCCCUGGGUUCGGUCCCCAGCUCCGAAAAAAAAGAACCAAAAAAAAAAAAAAAAAAAAAAAAAAAAGAAACAAUAGUGUCUUCAGAUCAGCCCCUCUCCCUGAGUGCCACCUCCCUCUGUGAGAACAGGAUGCAGGGACAGUGUAGGCAUAAAGGAGGAGCCACCACCAGGGAGGACUUCCUGGGGGAGGCUCCUUCUAGGAUGCCUGAGCAGGAAUCAGUGUGGGGCCUGGGGAGGAGGGAGGAGGGAGGAGCGAGGGAGAGGUGGUUGCAGCAGAUACUGCCUCAGGGAGACAGGUCUCCUCUUUCUCCUCCCCAGUCACAUCCUCUGCACUAGAAAAUGUGAACACUGAAAAGGUAGGACAGUGUGAGUGAGCCCAGAGCAGACCUCAGCCAUCCUGGGGAAUGGGUGGGAAAAGACCAGGAUCCAGAUGAGGUCAAGCAUCACAAGCAGGGACUAUGGUAUAGACAGUGACAGAGCCACCAAGAGGGUCCUUGGAAGAGGAGGCUGCAGAGGGGCGAAAGCUGACCCCAGCAAAGCCAAGCAUCCCUCACUGUUGAAAGACCCCGUAUCCAGGUGUCUGGUAAACAUCUCUGUCCUAGGCUCAGCUAAGGAAGGCAGUGGUGCCAAGAUCUCUGUAGGCCAAGCCCCAGGAAAAAGAGCUGAGCAAGUACCUGGCACUCCAGGCACAUGGUGGAAAACAGAAGCUCAAGGACCCCAGCCUUCACUGCUACCAAUGGUCUCCUCCCACAGAUCACACUUGGGCCUAGCCUGGGCCUGCUGUGAGGGUUUUAGGGUAUCUCCACAGACAGGGUCACAUGCAGCCCUUUGUCCAGUCAGCAGAUGUGGGCCCAGCAGAGAAGGAAAUGCCUUCCCUGCCCCCAGCUAGUAGAAGGCUGGGCCCCAGCCAGAAAGAGUGGCAAGCAGGAAGAACAGCAGGCAGGGCAAGAUCAGUCCAAUCGGCCCUCGCUCCACCCACUGCCAGCCUGUUCUCCCCUCCCCCACCACCCUAUUUUUACAUCACCCUGAGGUAAAUCUGAAUGUGUGAUUCAAUAUAUAGCAUUUCCUCUUUGUUGAUUGGCAUAUGUCUGCUUUGGGAGCAAAGGGAAGGAUUUGCAUAGUUUAGCUGGGUGUGGUGACACACACUAGUAACCCCAGCAGUCAAAAGGCAGAGGCAGAAUUGUGCCUAACCUGGACUACAGAGGGAGUUCCACAAGAGCCUGGGCUCCAAAGGGAGAGAGCCUGUCUCAAAAAGAUGGGUGGGGGGUAGACUUAAAUGCAUAACAUUUAAAACAACAACCAUUUUCUCCUUUAAGUGAAUAUUGGACUAGAGACAAAAUGGAAGUCAACUCAAUAUUGACAAGUAUAAACUGCUCUUAUUAUGUGCGGCCAUCUGGCUAGGGGUAGGGACUUGUGGGUAACAUGAGUGUCUGGUGCCCUCCAUAAACCCCUGCACCUGUCUGCUGCCUACUUGCUCCAGACAGAACUUAGAGGACAGAGCAGGGAGGAUCCUUCUGCUAAGCUCAGCCAGGACCCUGCCUCCAGCUUCUAGCUUCCAUGAGAGAGCCCUGUCUCGGGGAAUAUCACCCCAUGGACUUAUUGAACAUUCCCACGAUUGCUCUAGAGAUCUUUAUGUUCCAAAGCUUGAUCUCUGUGCACUGCGUCUGGACAUCCUGGAUACCUGAUAGACACAGGAUAUACUAAAUAAGGUUAUGUCUGGUGGAAAGAAGAGGCUUCUCUUGAAAUGGAUACCUGGUGGUACCCUGUAGGGUAGGGGGGCUAGAGCAGUGUCUGGACCAUGUCCCAGCGUGGGCACCUUGAGUAAACAGGAGGUAGGCCUGAUCAUGUGCAGCCAGGGGUGGGUGGAAUGGCUGCCCCCUCCAUGCCAACCUGAGCAGGCUUUUGUGGUAAACAUUAGAACUGAAAACUGAUGAACAGUAGAUUUUUCCAGAUUUAUUUUUGUUAUUUUAAUCAUGUUUAUGUGUGUUUAUGGGUAUUAAGCACAUGAAUGCAAGUGCCCACAUAAGUCAGAGGUGUCAGAGCCCCCUGGAGCUGGGGUUACAGGCACCUGCUGUGAAUGCUGGGAACUGAACUCAGAUCCUCAGGAAGAACAGUGCGUGCUCUUGGUCAUUGAACCAUCCUAACCUGGGAAGGUUACAGUUGAGCCUCAGCUGACCUGGAGUCUGGUGAGGCUGCUAUUGGUUCCAAAGAGCAUGGUCUCACUGGGUCCUCAUGCAGUGAGGAGGGCAUUCAGCCUCUGCAGAAUGUCCUCCCGUUCUUCCUGACAGGUUAAGCUGUAAUGUGGAUUUAGAGGACACUAUUAGUCAAUCUGCAGCAGAAACCAGGAGGGUUCAUUUCCUGGGAUUGCCGUGUUCAGGAUUUAGCCAACUGCUUGUCUAGAGAGCACUGCAGAGCCCCGUUUAAGAGGGAAGGCCUAGUAAGGCCCAACAGCAAAGCCAGGCAAACCUCAGAGAUCCACUGAGAGGGGUUAGGUACUGCUUCCAAAACUAGCUCUUCCCUAUCAGGGCUUCCCGGGCACUAGAGCAUCUACUCAGCCAGCUGACAUCAGGCAGUUGCUGACCAUGGCCUGGGCAGGAGACUCCAUGGCAUGCAAAUCAAAAGCAAGGAUCCAGGAGCCCUUUUAUGUAGCCUGGACUGUGACAGAGAGCAAUGGCCCUCAGGGGUUUGGAUCCCAGUGAACAGCCCACAGGAGCCGAGGGUCUGUCGCAACCUUUAAUGCUCCUCUAUUUUCCCCUCACCUCAAAGUACAGACCACGUGUCCGGGACCUCUAAGAACAGAGAAAAUGGGUAAGAAUGUUAUCCUAAUUCAACCCUAAAGGAGCAGCUAGGGUCAGGGCAGCCUUUUGAGGGGGACCAAGGCCAGCAGACAUCCUGUUUGUUCCUGAAACCCUUGCUUGCUCUACAAGUCGGAGUGUGCUAUGUCUCAGCCAUAGCCCGGGGACGGAGCAGGUGGGUGGUAUCCAAGGGAGCCCCAAGUAUAGGACCAGACACCCAGUUGCCCCUCUCUGAGCACCACAGGGACAUUAGGGUAUACCAGCCAGCAGGACAGGGUAGAGAAGUUUAAGAUGGACCCAUGACCUCUACUCACCUUAUCCAUACACCAGACUCCUCCUGUUGAGAGACAUCAUGCCCUAAUGGGUAAUGAGCUCUGUGAGUGCAGCUAGCUUGCUUGUCUCAGUAUCAGUUCUGCCUGGAGCCACACAGGAAAUGCCAGACCUCGUCCUGGAGCCCGGAGCAUCCUUCAGUGUAUCAAUUUACUCAUUGCCGUGACAGAAAUUCCUGUCUUAAAUUCCUCCAGCGUUUAGGAAGGGAGGAAGCGUUUGUUUCAGUUACCGUUUGAAGGACACAGUCCAUCAUGGCGGAGAUGUAAUGGCAGCAGGAAUGUGAGGCCACUGGUCACAUGGUAUCCACAGAUGAGAAGCAGACUCAUGGGAAUGCUCAGCUCAAUGCUCCCCUUUUCUGUAGGGUAGGACGGCAGCCCAUGGAAUGGUUUUGCCCACAGUGAAGGUGGGGCUCCUCGUCUCAAUUGACAUAACCUAGGCCAUUUCUUUAUAGUCAUGCUCAGAGGCAGACGAUCUAGAUAAUCUCUCACAGGUGUUUCCAGAGGAUGGCCUCCCACAGGAUUCUCGAUCCUGUCAAGUUAACCAUUACAGUCAGUGAUUGCAGCCAUGAAGCACCCUGUUCCCAGAAGUGCAGGCCCAAGCUGGUCUUCAGCAACACCAGCCUUUCCUUCACUUUCCUUGAGUUGCACUGUUCUCAUUAUAAACUAUGGGCACUUAACAGCACUUUCUGCUCUUUAGAGGUCCUGAGCUUAGUUCCCAGGCCCCAUAUUGAGUGGCUGUCUUAGUUAGGGUUUUAUUGCUGUGAAGACACCAUGACCAAAUCAACUCAUAAAGAACAACAUUUAAUAGGGGCCGGCUUACAGGUUCAGAGGUUCAGUCCAUUAUCAUCAAGGCAGGAACAUGGCAGCAUCCAGACAGACACAUGUGCGGCUGGAAGAGUUAAGUUCUGCAUCUUCAUCCAAAGGAAGACAAGAGAAGACUUCCAGGCAGCUAGGAGGAGGGUAUUAAAAACCACAUUCACAGUGACACACCUACUCCAACAAGGCCACACCUUGGGCCUUGUUGUGCCUAAUAGUGCCACUCCCUGGGCCAAGCAUAUACAAACCAUCACAAUGGCUAAUAGCUACCUGUAACUCCAAGCUUCAGGGACCUAAUCUAGCACACACACACACACACACACACACACACACACACACACACACACACACACACAUUUAUAUGUAAAUAAAAAUAAAUCCUUUUUAAAAAGCAAGAAAUAUAAGGAAACAUUCUAAAAGAAAAGUAAAAUUAUCUGCAUCCAACUCACUAGAGAUUAAAUCAGUUAAUCACUUUGGCAUACAUCUUUUGGGGACACACAGGGUGUGUGUGUGUGUGUGUGUGUGUGUGUGUGUGUGUGUGUGUGUGUGUGAAGGUAGCUGAAACAUAUCUGAAUACAACAUCAUUUUACUUCAAGCAUUGAGGUUUGUUUACACAAACAGGACUAUUUAGGCUGACUUACACUAAGUAGGUCCCAGUUGGCCAUUCGGUUAUUUUGUACUGAGUCAUCCACCGAUGGCACACACUGCUGGAGUGUGUCCCUCAGAGAGGGUGUCCUAGGUACUUCCUGGCUCCAGGUGAAGUCAUUUCUAAGGCUCCAGCGUAAAGUAGCAUGUGGAGAGCUAGGACACAUAGAUGCUCUGGGAAGAUACACUUGCAGGGAAUGUUCUCUCCAAAGCACAAAGGAGAUGGCAGACGUGGUGUUGCAACGAGAGCCAUGACAUUUCCCUUCCUCUUCUGGAACAUUAAGAGUGACAUACGCUCAGUGGGAAAAAUCACAGGGAAAUGUCAGUUAAGUAAAAACGAUUUCCCUGAUCCUCCCACGCCUAGUGCUUGUCCUUUUAAGCCUCGCCACUCCCCCUCCUUCCUUCUCUUUCAGGAGCAGGGGAGCAGAGUGGAGGCUUCGAGCUUCCUUACUUAGUGGCCACCAGGUGUUGGCGCGUGACUUGAGGUCCCUGAGACUUUGGCCCAUUGCAAAAGAGGUGUGAAUUAGUUUAAGGAGCCAACUGUUGUGUAUGCGUUGGUAUCUCUCUCUCAGCCCACUCUAUCCCCAAAUGCCACAUGGGAGGCAUCUUCCCACAGUAGCUGAUACUUACCCUGGUCCUUUUGAGUGACCUUGACAUUCUACUGUGUGGGUGCCGAGAGUUACGUAAUCCAACUUCAGUGGCUGGAAAUCUAGAUGGCUUUCAUUUUUGAAUAAAAUAUUAAAAGCAA